Salmo trutta (river trout) is the source of this 2095-nucleotide long non-coding RNA. The record is from Ensembl. Lineage: Eukaryota; Metazoa; Chordata; Actinopteri; Salmoniformes; Salmonidae.
AAUAUUUGCCUGAAUGUAAAGGGUUAAAACGUGCUCUGGAGUGACAUUGCUACGCAGUCCAUAUCGUUGGUGCUGAAAUCUGACUGAGUUUUUUUCCCCCAUAAAAAUAUGUACAUUUACUGCCCCCUCUGGUAGAUUCAGGCACAGAAGAGUGAGUGGGACCAAAGACAAACAGGCAACUCUUGAUAAACCCUUGUCUCCGCCUGUACAUGCGUCACAUCGAUCAGAGCCCGAAGUCGCAGUCCAGGAGCUUGUCAAACCCUCCAACGUAAGCAAUUACAUUCCUCCACUCACUUGUCAACGGCUACAAAUACUUCUUUACAAAUUUUACUCAGAUCAUUUUACUUAGAUAUUUUACUCACAUGGAUAAUACAAAGGCUCUGUCUGACACUUCUUAAUAUAGCCUAUAUACUCCACUUUGAUCACGCUUUCACUAUUUUACCUACAUUUCUGUCAAAUAAUAAGGGUGUUUUAUGGAAACUUACUGCAAUGUGUAUAACAUUAUUUUGUUUGUUGCUACAACUCUGGGUGUCAGUUGCUCGAUAGCUGUGGUACGGUUGAGGGCAGCUGUGAACACCUUCAUCCCAGUAGCUUUUUGUGUGCAGUUGCAUCAUAUAGUGUCUUUGACGUAGUACACUACAGUUUAAGUCAACCGUGCUGCCCCACAACAGGUUUCUCUUCCACCAAGAUUGAGCUCAGAGUCUGUCGUCUCUGCUUCUCUGUAUGACUGUGUCCCGCCCAGUGGCUGUUAGCGCACAUUGCUUCUAACUACCACUCAAAAUGUAUGACUUCCUCACUGGAGCUAUCAGUCCCCUCCAGAAAGGCACAUUCACAUCGGCCUUGUGCCGAAAUACUGAAAAGGAGGGCUGCUAUGCUAAUGUAAUGGAGGUAAGAAAGUGCCAUAAGUUUACUCCACACAGCUAGCUUAAAUGUCUCCAAUGGUGCUAUCGGAUCAUUUUCUAUAGAGCAACUGGUUAGUAAGUUGUCAAGGAGGGCGGUCACGUGUGGCGGUCACGUGUGUUUGCGAUUAGAGCACCACUGGUUUGAGCCCAGUAAGGGGACACGGGGACAGUUGAGGAAGCAAAGCUGUUAGCAGCACACUGAUUUAGGUUUCACUAACAGAGAUGGCUGUUAACACCUUCACUGCUGUCCAAUAUCAACUGGAAAUUGAAAGGACACUAUAAGCUGUGCUCAGGUACAGUGAUUAUUAGUUGUAAGUGCAUGUUAUUUAUUUCAGGCAUCAGAGUCACAGACCAGGAGCUAGUCAGACCCUUCAGCGUAAGCCAUUACAAUUCCUCCACUCACUUGUCAACAGAUACAAAUACAGAAUUUUAAAGAUACAGAAUUCUACUUAGAUAUUUUAUUCACAACAAUGAUACAAAGGCUCUGACACUUCUUAAUGUAGCCUACAUAUCACCUCCACUUUGAUUAAAGCGUUCACAAUUUUACCUAUAUUUCUGUUUUACGUAAACUUUUAUUUUAGCUGUUGCUAUACCUCUGUGCACGCCUUUUCUGACAAUGGGUCUCAGUUGCACGACAGCUGUGGUACUGGUGUUGGUAUAAUGGACGUCACGCUUCUUGCUUAGCGAGUACCACUUCCUCCUGAUUCGGCUCACACAGAGGCUCAAACCCAGGAUCUCUUGUUUGCUAGCACAUGUGACCGCCCUCCCGAAGCCUCUUACCAGUCAUGCCACACAAAAAGCUAGCUAUUUGGUGGCGCAAAGUGGGGACACUUCAGGCUGAGGAGUAAGUUUUACAUAUCCCCAUGUGCUACAUCAGAAGCUGUCUUGAAACAGCAACCAUGGACACCCUCAUCUCAGUAGCUCUUUGUGUGUGCAGUUGCGUCAUAACUUUCUAGAUCAUUUCCAUGUUAACCUGAAGACAAAACCAAAACAAACACAAAAUAUUACAAAAAUCUUUUAGCACUUUGUCAUUGUCACUCCUCAUUCCUCUAAUUCCAUUCACAUUAAAGAAAUAUUUCCAUGGAAGUUGGCGUCACUCGACACUGCAGCCAUGGGAUAGUGAACCAAUCAAAAGUGGAUUGAAGAGUAGCCUUUUCCCCGUAACCCAAUCAGCAUUGUGUAUGCAUGAGCCA